RNAcentral lists this unclassified non-coding RNA (336 nucleotides) under soil metagenome. RNAcentral describes it as "partial contains 5.8S ribosomal RNA, internal transcribed spacer 2, and large subunit ribosomal RNA". The stretch from base 1 to 120 matches the Rfam family "5.8S ribosomal RNA", at positions 35 to 154 of the family's 154-position model. The record is from RNAcentral.
GAUGAAGAACGUAGCGAAAUGCGAUAAGUAAUGUGAAUUGCAGAAUUCCGUGAAUCAUCGAAUCUUUGAACGCACAUUGCGCCCUCUGGUAUUCCGGGGGGCAUGCCUGUUCGAGCGUCAUUUCAACCAUCAAGCCCCCGGCUUGUGUUGGGGACCUGCGGCUGCCGCAGGCCCUGAAAAGCAGUGGCGGGCUCGCUGUCACACCGAGCGUAGUAGCAUACAUCUCGCUCUGGGCGUGCUGCGGGUUCCGGCCGUUAAACCACCUUCAUAACCCAAGGUUGACCUCGGAUCAGGUAGGAAGACCCGCUGAACUUAAGCAUAUCAAUAAGCGGAGGA